AUGCAGACGAUGCUAACUAUGGAGACUUUGCUCUCUGGGCCUCCACUGAUGAAGGAGCGACAGACGAGUCAGACGGUUGGGACUGGCACUAGGCGUAGGGGGCUCUGGUACAUGGACCAGGAGGUGCAGCCGGACUUGGUGUGUGCUGCGACCACGGAGGACAAGGAGAAGGAGGCGAUGAUCCAUCACUGUAGGAUGGGCCAUGUAUCUUUUGAUAAGAUGAGUAGAAUCUUUCCGGAUGUUAUGUGUGGGAUAGGCAAGGGCAAGUUGACAUGUGAUGCUUGCGAAUAUGCCAAACACACACGAGCCUCAUAUGUGAGUAAGGGGCUUAGGAGCAUAUCUCCUUUUAUGCUUAUUCAUUCGGAUGUAUGGAAGAGCCCAGUUGUAUCAAUGAAUGGAAUGAAAUACUUUGUUACAUUCAUCGAUUGCUAUUCUCGUAUGACUUGGAUUUAUUUGAUGCGUCACAAAGAUGAGGUGUUUAGCUGUUUUCAGAAUUUCCAUGCCUUGGUGAAGAAUCAGUUUCAGGUGCAGGUGCAGGUGAUCAGGACUGACAAUGGGAUAGAGUAUGUGAACAACACAUUUGGGGCUUACUUGUCUGAUCACGGUAUUCUUCAUCAAACUUCAUGCCCAGACACCCCUCCUCAGAAUGGAGUGGCAGAAAGGAAAAAUCGGCAUAUUCUUGAGGUUGCCCGGUCAUUGAUGUUUACGAUGAAUGUGCCCAAAUUCUUGUGGAGUGAAGCAGUUAUGACAGCCACAUACUUGAUCAACAGGACACCAUCAAGAAUACUAAGCAUGAAAUCUCCGUGUGAGCUAGUAUAUGGAGAAACUAAGUUUGUUGUUCCCCCAAAGUUGUUUGGCAGUACUUGUUUUGUUCGAGAUCACCGUCCUUCUGUUGGAAAACUUGAUCCGCGGGCAGUGAAGUGUAUUUUUCUGGGCUAUUCUUCUAGUCAGCAGGGAUAUAAAUGUUGGUGUCCCUCAGAGAAACGCAGGUUUGUCAGUAUGGACGUAACCUUCAGGGAGUCUGAGCCAUUCUAUGGUGAGCCAACAGAUCUAAGUGUGUUGUUUCAAGAGCUUGACCAUUUCCACUCUGUGCAAGAUGGUCAAGAGGGGGAGAAGGCUGUAUCUCACACUCACGCGGAUUCUGUGGGCACUAACAUUGAUGAUGAUGAUGUGCAGGUUCAAGUCCAGCCAAUUGUGGGUACAAUUUCGGUUGGUACUCUCACUGAUGGUGAUGUGCAGGUACGGGUCCAACCAACCGUGGGUUCCAUUCAGAUUGGUAAUCUCCAGCUCCCUGUUCGAGAUCGGUGGCAGAAGAUCCCCCUAGUGUACUCUCGGCGAGAGCCACAAGUGCCACAGGUGCAUGACUCAUCUGACACUCGUCUGGUAUAUUCUCGGCGGCAGCCACUUGUGCAGGAGGGGGAGCAACAAGUGCAGGGGGAGCAGUCAGUGCAGGGGGAGCAGCAAGGCAGUGGUGCAAGCUCAUCUGACACAGUGGAGCUACCUAUUGCGUUGCGAAAGGGGACACGUGAAGCGGCUGAGAAGGCUUUACCACUGGAGUUUUUGGAUGAUCAUGACAUUGGAAAUUUUGUGUCUUAUGAGGCUUUGUCUCCUUCCUAUAGAGUGUUUGUUGCCUCUCUUCAAACUGUGUCAAUCCCAAAGGAUUGGAAGAUUGCAAAGCAAGAUCCGAAGUGGCAUGAAGCAAUGAUAGAAGAGUUGGAAGCACUGAGGAAAAAUAAGACGUGGGUGCUAACCACAUUGCCGGCAGGAAAGAAAGCAGUGAGUUGUAAGUGGAUCUAUACAGUGAAGCAGAAUCCUGAGGGGAAGGUGGAACGGUAUAAGGCCAGAUUGGUCGCCAGAGGAUAUAGUCAAACUUAUGGAAUUGACUAUGACGAGACGUUUGCUCCAGUGGCAAAGAUGAACACGGUAAGGAUAUUGGUUUCCUGUGCUGCAAACUUUGGGUGGAAAUUGCAUCAAUUAGAUGUCAAGAAUGCCUUCUUGCAUGGUGAGUUGCAGGAAGAAGUGUACAUGGAGAUACCAUCAGGUUUUGGUACUUCACUGACAACGGGGAAGGUAUGCAGGCUGAAGAAAUCCUUGUAUGGACUGAAGCAAUCGCCGAGGGCUUGGUUUGAUAGGUUCAGGCGUGCUGUCCGUGCUAUGGGGUAUGGUCAAUGUAAUGGUGAUCACACGGUGUUCUACAGACACUCACUCUCUAAUCGAAAGAUCACCAUUCUUGCAGUUUAUGUGGACGACAUUAUCAUCACCGGAGAUGAUGAGGAGGAAAUAAAGAGAUUGAAGGGGUGUCUGAGCAAUGAGUUUGAGGUGAAGGAUUUGGGCAACCUAAAAUACUUCCUUGGGAUUGAAGUGGCCCGGACAGAGAAGGGAAUAUCUUUGUGCUAA
This 2397-nucleotide ribosomal RNA is filed under the name Triticum aestivum (bread wheat). RNAcentral describes it as "partial small subunit ribosomal RNA". The record is from RNAcentral. Lineage: Eukaryota; Viridiplantae; Streptophyta; Magnoliopsida; Poales; Poaceae.